CCUGUAACAACUUGUGCGUUUUACGUGUGUAUAAAGAAUUGUAGUUGGAAAUUUUGAGUGUGAAUUUUAUACAUUUCUUAGACCUAACCAACAGCAGUUGUGAAAAAUGCAAUUAUAUACCAUCUGACAGGAAUCGAACCUGCAGCCCUGCGAUUCUGAUGCAGCGCUCUAACCAACUGCGGAGGUAAAAAUCUUUUCCGUGGAACGAAACCCACCGGGCACACGACGUUGUUUCAACGUUGAAAUUUGGUAGAAAAAAGGUUGCGACGUCGACAACCUAAUAUCUACGUUGCUCUGACGUUGUUUUACAAACAUUGGUUCAACGGCAGCCAACAGACGUUGAAUUAACGUUCAUUCAUGGUUAAAUGUACGACUCGUCGAUUUGUGAACCAAUCUCAACGUUGUUUUAACGCGGAUUCAACGUUGAAUUAUGGUUGACGAGAUUGGCAACCGAAUUUCAACGUUGUUUCACCGUCGAAACAGUAACGUCGAUCCAAUUUGCAUAUUCAACCCUUUUUCAACGUCUAUCCAAUGUCUGGAAGGUCAUUUUCAACGUUGAUUCAACAUUGGAUAAACGUCAUUUUGCCCGCUGGGAAGCGUCAAGGAAUUUAUUUAAUUUAUUUUAUUUCGUGAAAAGUGUUGUUCAGAUUGCAUUUUUG
Non-coding RNA from Paramuricea clavata, 659 nucleotides. The record is from the annotation of a GenBank genome assembly. Lineage: Eukaryota; Metazoa; Cnidaria; Anthozoa; Malacalcyonacea; Plexauridae.